RNAcentral lists this ribosomal RNA (254 nucleotides) under uncultured bacterium. Its description in RNAcentral is "partial 16S ribosomal RNA". It matches the Rfam family "Bacterial small subunit ribosomal RNA", at positions 524 to 776 of the family's 1533-position model. The record is from RNAcentral.
UACGAAGGGGGCUAGCGUUGCUCGGAAUUACUGGGCGUAAAGGGCGCGAUAGGCGGUUCUAUAAGUCAGGCGUGAAAUUCCUGGGCUUAACCUGGGGGCUGCGCUUGAGACUGUGGGACUUGAGGUCAGAAGAGGGUCGUGGAAUUCCCAGUGUAGAGGUGAAAUUCGUAGAUAUUGGGAAGAACACCGGUGGCGAAGGCGGCGACCUGGUCCGUGACUGACGCUGAGGCGCGAAAGCGUGGGGAGCAAACAGG